This 253-nucleotide ribosomal RNA is filed under the name uncultured bacterium. RNAcentral describes it as "partial 16S ribosomal RNA". It matches the Rfam family "Bacterial small subunit ribosomal RNA", at positions 524 to 776 of the family's 1533-position model. The record is from RNAcentral.
UACGUAGGGUGCGAGCGUUAAUCGGAAUUACUGGGCGUAAAGCGUGCGCAGGCGGCUAUUUAAGCUUGCUGUGAAAGCCCCGGGCUUAACCUGGGAAUGGCAUUUGGGACUGCAAGGCUUGAGUGCGGCAGAGGAGACUGGAAUUCCUGGUGUAGCAGUGAAAUGCGUAGAUAUCAGGAGGAAUACCGAUGGCGAAGGCAGGUCUCUGGGCUGACACUGACGCUCAUGCACGAAAGCGUGGGGAGCAAACAGG